UGGACAUUAAGACCAGAGAGAGAGAGAGAGAGAUAGCGAGGUGCCAUGGACAUUAAGACCAGAGAGAGAGAGAGGAGGUGCCAUGGACAUUAAGACCAGAGAGAGAGAGAGAGGUGCCAUGGACAUUAAGACCAGAGAGAGAGGUUUCAUGGACAUUAAGACCAGAGAGAGAGAGAGAGAGGUGCCAUGGACAUUAAGACCAGAGAGAGAGGUGCCAUGGACAUUAAGACCAGAGAGAGAGAGAGAGAGAGAGGUGCCAUGGACAUUAAGACCAGAGAGAGAGGUGCCAUGGACAUUAAGACCAGAGAGAGAGAGAGAGAGAGAGGUGCCAUGGACAUUAAGACCAGAGAGAGAGGUGCCAUGGACAUUAAGACCAGAGAGAGAGAGAGAGAGAGAGAGAGAGAGAGGUGCCAUGGACAUUAAGACCAGAGAGAGAGGUGCCAUGGACAUUAAGACCAGAGAGAGAGAGAGAGAGAGAGAGAGAGAGAGGUGCCAUGGACAUUAAGACCAGAGAGAGAGGAG
This is a long non-coding RNA of Oncorhynchus tshawytscha (Chinook salmon), 522 nucleotides long. The record is from Ensembl. Lineage: Eukaryota; Metazoa; Chordata; Actinopteri; Salmoniformes; Salmonidae.